Medicago truncatula (barrel medic) is the source of this 1824-nucleotide RNA transcript. It is a transcript of the gene named pectinesterase-like, with no coding region annotated. The record is from RefSeq and is a predicted model, not a curated record. The transcript is spliced from 2 exons. Lineage: Eukaryota; Viridiplantae; Streptophyta; Magnoliopsida; Fabales; Fabaceae.
CUCCAAUAAGCCUCCCCUACUAAAACACCCAAGGGGAGGAAACUAGUCUUCUAAUAAUUCGAGCAAAAAAUAAAAAAAAUGAAUGGAAAGGUAAUUAUCUCCGCUGUUUCUCUUAUCCUCGUUGUAGGUGUUGCCAUCGGCGUGGUUUGCGCUGUUCACAAAAAUGGUGAAGACCCUGAGGUUAAAACUCAACAAAGAUCUCUUCAAGUUAUGUGCCAAAAUGCAGAUGACCAAAAACUCUGCCAUGAAACACUUAGCUCUGUGCGUGGCGCCGACGCCGCUGACCCUAAGGCAUACAUAGCAGCCGCUGUAAAGGCAGCCACUGACAAUGUCAUUAAGGCCUUUAACAUGAGUGACAGGCUCACCACUGAGUAUGGAAAGGAAGAUGGUACCAAGAUGGCUCUUAAUGACUGCAAGGACUUGAUGCAAUUCGCUUUGGACAGUCUUGACCUCUCCACCAAGUGUGUUCAUGACAGCAACAUUCAAGCUGUUCAUGACCAAACCGCUGAUAUGAGGAAUUGGUUGAGUGCAGUUAUCUCUUACAGACAAGCUUGUAUGGAAGGAUUUGACGAUGAAAAUGACGGUGAGAAGAAGAUCAAGGAGCAAUUAGACGUUCAGAGUUUGGACAGCGUACAAAAGGUUACCGCUGUUGCCCUUGACAUUGUGACUGGUUUGUCCGACAUCCUCCAGCAAUUCAACUUGAAGUUUGAUAUCAAACCUGCUUCCCGUCGUCUUCUUAAUUCUGAGGUGACUGUUGAUGAUCAAGGAUACCCUUCAUGGAUCUCUGCUUCUGAUCGCAAGCUUUUGGCUAAAAUGAAAGGAAACGGAUGGAGAGCAAAUGUUGGGGCUAAUGCUGUUGUUGCCAAGGAUGGUAGCGGUCAAUUUAAAACCAUCCAGGCUGCUAUUGCCGCUUACCCUAAGGGGAACAAAGGCAGAUAUACUAUCUACGUUAAGGCUGGCGUCUAUGAUGAAUACAUCACUAUUCCCAAAGACGCUGUUAACAUUCUUAUGUAUGGUGAUGGCCCCGGAAAGACCAUUGUUACCGGAAGAAAGAACGGUGCUGCUGGUGUCAAGACCAUGCAAACCGCCACCUUCGCCAACACCGCAUUGGGGUUCAUUGGAAAGGCAAUGACAUUUGAGAACACAGCCGGUCCUGCUGGUCACCAAGCUGUGGCAUUUAGAAACCAAGGAGAUAUGUCUGCUUUGGUGGGUUGCCAUAUCCUGGGUUACCAAGACACUUUGUACGUUCAAACCAACAGGCAAUUCUACCGCAAUUGUGUUAUCUCUGGUACCGUUGAUUUCAUCUUUGGAACAUCUGCCACCUUGAUCCAAGACUCUACGAUCAUCGUAAGAAUGCCUUCCCCAAAUCAAUUCAACACAAUUACCGCAGACGGGUCAUACGUGAAUAAAUUGAAUACUGGUAUUGUGAUCCAAGGCUGCAAUAUUGUCCCAGAAGCAGCAUUGUUCCCUCAAAGAUUCACAAUUAAAUCUUACUUGGGCAGACCAUGGAAGGUUUUAGCAAAGACGGUCGUCAUGGAAUCCACCAUUGGUGAUUUUAUUCAUCCAGAUGGAUGGACCCCUUGGCAAGGAGAACAUUUUGAAAACACAUGUUACUAUGCAGAGUACGCCAACACUGGACCUGGUGCCAAUAUUGCCAGGAGGAUCAAGUGGAAGGGUUAUCACGGUGCCAUUAGCAGGGCCGAGGCUACCAAAUUCACUGCUGGUUUAUGGCUCCAAGCUGGACCCAAGUCCGCAGCCGAAUGGUUGACUGGUCUUAAUGUUCCUAAUUACCUUGGCUUCAAAGCUUGAAAAUUAAACAUGUAA